Vicugna pacos (alpaca) is the source of this 96-nucleotide microRNA precursor. NCBI's taxonomy places the organism in Eukaryota, Metazoa, Chordata, Mammalia, Artiodactyla, Camelidae. The record is from Ensembl.
AUCAUCUGGGAUCUUGUAAAAUGCUGUUUCUGAUUCUGUGGGUCUGGGCGGGGUCUGAGAUUCUGCAGUUCUAACAAGCUCCCAGGUGAUGUCAAU